GGAGAGAUGGCAGAGUGGUCGAUUGCGGCGGUCUUGAAAACCGCUGAGGUGAAAGCCUCCAGGGGUUCGAAUCCCCUUCUCUCCG
Molecule: transfer RNA, 85 nt
Filed under: Rickettsiales bacterium
Lineage: Bacteria; Pseudomonadati; Pseudomonadota; Alphaproteobacteria; Rickettsiales
Description: tRNA-Ser
Rfam family: tRNA
About the family: Transfer RNA (tRNA) molecules are approximately 80 nucleotides in length. Their secondary structure includes four short double-helical elements and three loops (D, anti-codon, and T loops).
Source: RNAcentral